CAAGUACUUCCUUCUUUCGAAAAUACUUGUCAUAAAAAAGAAUGUAUUUAGAUAUAUUUUAGUUUUAGAUACACUCAUUUUUAUAAAUUUAUACGACAAGUAAUUCCGAACGGAAGGAGUAGUUA
This 125-nucleotide microRNA precursor is filed under the name Hordeum vulgare. RNAcentral describes it as "microRNA MIR1122". It matches the Rfam family "MIR1120/MIR1122 microRNA precursor family". Lineage: Eukaryota; Viridiplantae; Streptophyta; Magnoliopsida; Poales; Poaceae. The record is from RNAcentral.